Molecule: ribosomal RNA, 537 nt
Filed under: Clostridioides difficile
Lineage: Bacteria; Bacillati; Bacillota; Clostridia; Peptostreptococcales; Peptostreptococcaceae
Description: bacterial SSU rRNA
Rfam family: Bacterial small subunit ribosomal RNA
Source: RNAcentral
UUUUAUUUGAGAGUUUGAUCCUGGCUCAGGAUGAACGCUGGCGGCGUGCCUAACACAUGCAAGUUGAGCGAUUUACUUCGGUAAAGAGCGGCGGACGGGUGAGUAACGCGUGGGUAACCUACCCUGUACACACGGAUAACAUACCGAAAGGUAUGCUAAUACGGGAUAAUAUAUUUGAGAGGCAUCUCUUAAAUAUCAAAGGUGAGCCAGUACAGGAUGGACCCGCGUCUGAUUAGCUAGUUGGUAAGGUAACGGCUUACCAAGGCGACGAUCAGUAGCCGACCUGAGAGGGUGAUCGGCCACAUUGGAACUGAGACACGGUCCAAACUCCUACGGGAGGCAGCAGUGGGGAAUAUUGCACAAUGGGCGAAAGCCUGAUGCAGCAACGCCGCGUGAGUGAUGAAGGCCUUCGGGUCGUAAAACCCUGUCCUCAAGGAAGAUAAUGACGGUACUUGAGGAGGAAGCCCCGGCUAACUACGUGCCAGCAGCCGCGGUAAUACGUAGGGGGCUAGCGUUAUCCGGAUUUACUGGGCGUAA